This 447-nucleotide ribosomal RNA is filed under the name uncultured bacterium. Its description in RNAcentral is "partial 16S ribosomal RNA". It matches the Rfam family "Bacterial small subunit ribosomal RNA", at positions 329 to 793 of the family's 1533-position model. The record is from RNAcentral.
GGCCAGACUCCUACGGGAGGCAGCAGUGGGGGAUAUUGCACAAUGGGGGAAACCCUGAUGCAGCGACGCCGCGUGGGUGAAGAAGCGCCUCGGCGCGUAAAGCCCUGUCAGCAGGGAAGAAAAUGACGGUACCUGAAGAAGAAGCCCCGGCUAACUACGUGCCAGCAGCCGCGGUAAUACGUAGGGGGCAAGCGUUAUCCGGAUUUACUGGGUGUAAAGGGAGCGUAGACGGCGAUGCAAGCCAGAUGUGAAAGCCCGGGGCUCAACCCCGGGACUGCAUUUGGAACUGUGUGGCUGGAGUGUCGGAGAGGCAGGCGGAAUUCCUAGUGUAGCGGUGAAAUGCAUAGAUAUUAGGAGGAACACCAGUGGCGAAGGCGGCUUGCUGGACUGAAACUGACGCUGAGGCUCGAACGCGUGGGGAGCAAACAGGAUUAGAUACCCUCGUAA